ACCUUAACCCUCUGUGGCAUAGCGUUACGAAUUCGUAACAACGUAUUUUCAGGGUUUUUAAAAAUCAAACCUUUCCCCUGUGCCUUGAUUUUGCAAAAUUUUAUUAGUUUUUUCUUUUUCUGAAAAAUUGAUUCCCUUAACUUCAAGAUUUUGGAAAAAAAAUUUGGUACUCUAUUUGUUUAUGCAAGCUAAAAAAUAAAUUAGUGUCCCCUAGAAUCUGAGAUCCAAAAUUAAUUGAUGUCAUAGAGGGUUAAAACUGUUAGAAAAUGAAAAAGUUUGAUACUUAGUUGUAUUUCCCUGCUAUGUCAAUGCAGAAAUGUAAGACCGGUUUCCUUUUGCAGGUAUUCUCUAAAUUCAACUUCGACCUCUUAAUAGAGUUUGUAAAGCAAACUCUCAGUUAUGUCAAUUUUGAAGCUCUGGUCCUACCUGGAACUAUUAGUGCUUGUGUGGAAGCUGUAGCAAGAGACAAUCAACUUCUGUUUAAAGUAGUGGAAUUACUCGCUGAAAUAGUAACAUUCAAAACUUCUUGUUGCGUAACCAGUGAAGACCUGAGUGAAUGGCAGUUCUACUCCCUAAAGGACAACCGCAAACGGAGUAGCAAAAACCAAAUCUGUGAUAUAAGUGUUGACUAUCUUGAUCGCAUUAAGUCAGUGGAUGACAUUAUGACCAGUUAUGAAAAUGUUCUCAAUAUUUUUAUAAUUCUACCACACUUCAAGAUAAUGAACUCUAAACAAGCUGCGGUGCUUUUAAGGAUAAACCAGUUUAUUCUGGAUGAAUUGGCAAGAACAAGUCUAAAUUCGGAUGAGCAAAUUUGCAAACUUUUUCACCUGUGGACUUUCGUGCUUAUCACUGUCAUCCAAGUAGAGGAUGCAAAAGAACAGUUCCUCAAAAUUUAGCUUGUGAUAAGUUUUUGGGUGUUUUACUGAAACAUUGUCAGCAAGAUAUUUGCACCGCUGCAGUCUUAAGAGUUUUGGAUUUUUUUAUCUUUCUUGCAUCGGCGUCUGUGAUCGAUCACAAACUAUGUUUGAAGAUUGAACAGGAAGUAGUAAAACACUUGGCAUCACCAUUUCAUAUGGUAAGUUGUAUGGUUUUGAAAUUUGUUUCUGCUUCCCAAAUGAAUUUACUCAUAAAGCUCUGUUCAGAUAAGAGAAAACUUUGCACUAUUCACAAAAGGG
This 1175-nucleotide long non-coding RNA is filed under the name Bemisia tabaci. Its description in RNAcentral is "lncRNA ENSSSA3NGG005825". The record is from RNAcentral. Lineage: Eukaryota; Metazoa; Arthropoda; Insecta; Hemiptera; Aleyrodidae.